GGGCGCCAUCUUGGGACUGCCGCCACACCCGCUCCCCACGUCCUUUGUGACUCUAUAGCUCAGAAUGGCUCCCUACAAUUCUCAUUAAAGCCGGGUAUAGUAGAUGCCUGGAAUUCCGGCCCCAGUCUCUCCGCUACUCUGGGAGGCUGAGGCAGGAGAAUUAUCAGAAAUUUGAAGCCAUAGUGGCACACAUUAAAAGACCAUGUCCGACUGGUGGAGUGGUUCACAAAUACCACUUCGUUAAAUGAGUGCUCUUCAUGCAUAGCCUUCCUCAUUAGGGUGGAUGCUGCAAGCGAUGCUUUGGUACCCAAGAUCGGGGCUGUUGUUCAACUCCGCUGUGUAAAUCCAAUAGCAUGUUCCAGUCUCCGCACAUAGUGCCACGCUGACACUGAGACACAGAGUGCCUAGCCAUGGUACUAACUAUGGCAGAGUACGCCAGGAGGCUCACAUGUUACCUCUUCUGAACACUGAAACCCUGGAGACCAACACCAGCUGAGCUCGCUCGCUAACAGUUCCCGAGAGCGUGCUUGCACUGGGAAAUCCCUCCAACCACGUGACAAGCCCAAAGACAAGCCAGUGUGAAGACAGGAAGGGAAGUUUCUCAUCUGGAAAACAGGAAGAGAUGGGGCUCAUCGAGGCUCAGGAGGCAGAAUCGAAGGUAGGAUCACAUCUCUGUUCUCCUGUGUGGAACUCACACUCUCCAGCCAUGUGAUGAGGACCAUUGCAAGCUGGUGACGAGUAA
RNAcentral lists this long non-coding RNA (742 nucleotides) under Rattus norvegicus (Norway rat). RNAcentral's name for it is "long non-coding RNA NONRATT001980". Lineage: Eukaryota; Metazoa; Chordata; Mammalia; Rodentia; Muridae. The record is from RNAcentral.